Molecule: small nuclear RNA, 187 nt
Filed under: Saccharomyces cerevisiae (brewer's yeast)
Lineage: Eukaryota; Fungi; Ascomycota; Saccharomycetes; Saccharomycetales; Saccharomycetaceae
Description: U5snRNA
Source: RNAcentral
UUUAAUGAUCUUCGCGUGAUUUAAUUCUAGUGGUUCGUAUCGCCUAAAAUCAUACCAAAAUAAAAAGAGUGUCUAGAAGGGUCAUAUAAUGUCUGCAAUUAAUCAUCUUUGUUUGAAACUUAUUUUGGCGAGUUUCGCGAUUAUUAACACCAUUACUGCUUUAACAAACGAUGGCACUGGUCACUUA